Molecule: ribosomal RNA, 301 nt
Filed under: uncultured bacterium
Lineage: Bacteria
Description: partial 16S ribosomal RNA
Rfam family: Bacterial small subunit ribosomal RNA
Source: RNAcentral
CAGCAGCCGCGGGAAUACAGAGGGUGCGAGCGUUAAUCGGAUUUACUGGGCGUAAAGCGUGCGUAGGCGGCUUUUUAAGUCGGAUGUGAAAUCCCUGAGCUUAACUUAGGAAUUGCAUUCGAUACUGGGAAGCUAGAGUAUGGGAGAGGAUGGUAGAAUUCCAGGUGUAGCGGUGAAAUGCGUAGAGAUCUGGAGGAAUACCGAUGGCGAAGGCAGCCAUCUGGCCUAAUACUGACGCUGAGGUACGAAAGCAUGGGGAGCAAACAGGAUUAGAGACCCGUGUAGUCCCUGUCUCUUAUAA